RNAcentral lists this ribosomal RNA (253 nucleotides) under uncultured bacterium. RNAcentral's name for it is "partial 16S ribosomal RNA". It matches the Rfam family "Bacterial small subunit ribosomal RNA", at positions 524 to 776 of the family's 1533-position model. The record is from RNAcentral.
UACGUAUGGUGCAAGCGUUAUCCGGAUUUACUGGGCGUAAAGGGAGCGCAGGCGGCGCGCCAAGUCUGAUGUGAAACCCCGGGGCUCAACCCCGGGCAUGCAUUGGAAACUGGCGGGCUGGAGUGCCGGAGAGGUAAGCGGAAUUCCUAGUGUAGCGGUGAAAUGCGUAGAUAUUAGGAGGAACACCAGUGGCGAAGGCGGCUUACUGGACGGCAACUGAUGCUGAGGCUCGAAAGCGUGGGGAGCAAACAGG